AUGAGUUCUUUAGUUGAUUGUCAACUCUAAUUGUUAAACCUGUUGACUGUUGUUCUUUGUCCCUUUGGUCGUAACCAUAUUCACUGUCCUUUGUUAAUUGAUAAAUUCAUAAUUGCACAACCUUUACUCUCUUUACAAAGAUUUUUUUGUUAAUCAUAGUUUUGAUCAUAGCCUAGUGAUGGUUUCACUUUCUAAUGAAAUUACUUGUUUAAGUCUUUGUGGUAAAUUCUUGGAGGAAUCUACUGAUUAAUUUUAUGUGAAAUAUAGUAUUAUUGAUGUAGGACUAAACUUUUUACAUCUUAAACUGCUCCAAAUUGAAAGCUAAUGGAGUGGAAUGGAUGAUGACUCAAGUUUGUGAAUAUUUUUUUAGUAUUUAUAAGAGUGUCUCUGCAUCUUUGCUCUGCUUUUUAUAAAUGCGUUAAAGAUACAAAUGAUAUGCAGUUAAAAUGCUGUAUAUUUGAUGGUUGUUUGAAAUUGUGAAUAUUUUUAUGUAAUGUUAGAUAAAU
This 506-nucleotide long non-coding RNA is filed under the name Medicago truncatula (barrel medic). RNAcentral describes it as "long non-coding RNA (MTRU_LNC006138)". The record is from RNAcentral. Lineage: Eukaryota; Viridiplantae; Streptophyta; Magnoliopsida; Fabales; Fabaceae.